Molecule: ribosomal RNA, 499 nt
Filed under: uncultured bacterium
Lineage: Bacteria
Description: partial 16S ribosomal RNA
Rfam family: Bacterial small subunit ribosomal RNA
Source: RNAcentral
GACGAACGCUGGCGGCGUGCUUAACACAUGCAAGUCGAACGGGCCUAUCUUCUUUUUUGGGGGUGGGUUGAGUGGCGAACGGGUGAGUAUCACGUGAGUAACCUGCCCUUCGGUCCUGGAUAACCGCUUGAAAGGGCGGCUAAUACGGGGUGGUCCGGUUGGUCCGCAUGGGCUGGUCGGGAUAGAUUCACUGUUUUUGGUGUUUCGGCGGGGGAUGGGCUCGCGGCCUAUCAGCUUGUUGGUGGGGUGAUGGCCUACCAAGGCGGUGACGGGUAGCCGGCCUGAGAGGGUGGGCGGCCACACUGGGACUGAGAUACGGCCCAGACUCCUGCGGGAGGCAGCAGUGGGGGGUAUUGCACAAUGGGCGGAAGCCUGAUGCAGCGACGUCGCGUGAGGGAUGGAGGCCUUCGGGUUGUGAACCUCUGUUUCCGGUGGUGAAGGCCCUGUCCGUGUGGUGGGGCUGACGGUAGCCGGGGAUGAAGCGCCGGCUAACUACGUG